RNAcentral lists this ribosomal RNA (253 nucleotides) under uncultured bacterium. RNAcentral's name for it is "partial 16S ribosomal RNA". It matches the Rfam family "Bacterial small subunit ribosomal RNA", at positions 524 to 776 of the family's 1533-position model. The record is from RNAcentral.
UACGGAGGGGGCUAGCGUUGUUCGGAAUUACUGGGCGUAAAGCGCGCGUAGGCGGACCUGCAAGUUGGGGGUGAAAGCCCGAGGCUCAACCUCGGAAAUGCCUUCAAUACUGCGGGUCUCGAGUCCGGGAGAGGUGAGUGGAAUUCCUAGUGUAGAGGUGAAAUUCGUAGAUAUUAGGAAGAACACCAGUGGCGAAGGCGGCUCACUGGCCCGAUACUGACGCUGAGGUGCGAAAGCGUGGGGAGCAAACAGG